AUAGUCCUCAGGGCCGACAGAAGCCGGCGAGACAGCGGCGUUCACGGCGAGCAGCACGACGCAAAUCGCCGGGAGAAAAGGGCCCAUCCUUUGCCGCGGCAGUCUUGACGCAUUCAAGGAGAGUGUCUCAGGUUCCUUAAGUUAAUGUGCUAUCAGCCGAAGACACCCAUAGAUGGAUGAAGAGUCAGCUCACAUAAACGAGGACACACACAUGCUCUUGCAGCUUUUAGAGAUGCCACUGUUGUACUGAUGUGUAUGGGGCCAAAUCCAAUGCCUGGGCUCUGCAGGGUGUCAGAGGCUUCCUUCCGUCUUUGUGGAAUCAUCCCCUUGCAAGAGCUGGCAUUUUCCAUUGGGUUAAGUAAGAAUCUCUCUCUCUCUCUCUUUCACUUCAAAGUGUUUGUUUGAAAGUCAUGUUGUGGUUCCAGUGCUCAGAAGGAAACAGGUUCACUGGAAGGUAACAACCUCUAAAAAAAGCAUUAAAAGAAAUCACUUAAAAAUGAAAUCUGUCAUUAUUUACUUACCCUCACAUUGUACCAAACAUGUAUGCUGUUAUUUUUUAUUUUUUAUUUUUUUCUGUAAAACACAGAGGAUUUUAGAAGAAUAUUCAUGCUCUUUUAUAGUGACUAAAGGGAUCAAGCUACAAAAAUUAAAAAUAAAUAAAUAAUAAAAAGUAGUCUAUUUGAUUAAUGUGCUUUAUUAUAUUUGGGAAGCCAUAGAAUAUAUUUUCUUAGGAACAGACCAAAAGUUUUUUGUUUUUUUUUAGGUUAUUUACUGAAAAUCUUCCCUCCGCUACAGGCUACAACUCUAAAAUCUCAUUCUCCAUUCUACAUAUUCAAACAUGUGCGUUGCAUUUGGUUAUUAUUGAAUGGUAUUUUUGACUUUGAAUGUGAUAUUUUAGAGCUUCGGUGGAGGUAAAGUUUUUUUUUGUUUUUUGGUUAACUUUCUUUUUGUUCCUCAAACAAAGGUAAUGUAUGCUUCAGGCAACUUCAGAGUUAUAUAGACUUCUUUUAUGAUUCUUUUAUGGGGUUUGUUUUGAUUUUGCUGUGUGGAGUUUCUUAAAAAUCUGUUUGUAUUCCUCCAUUGUGUGUACCAUUUGGGUUUGUAGCUAUAUGAAGCUGAGUAAAUAAUGGCAAAACUUUUAUUUUUUGGAGAACUAUACUUAGGAAUUGUGGUCUAAAGUGCACAGUACAAUGUGUGUGUGUAUAUAUAUAUAUAUAUAUAUAUAUACAUUAUGUGUGUCUGCUUGGGAGUGAGUGAGCGAGCAGGACUGAAAGAGAUUGCACUCAAUCAGUUGUAUUCAUAAAGCCAGUACCGAAGGUCAUUUGUUAUGGGUAUAAUGUAUUCAAUGUAAUCAGCUCCAAUUACAGGCCUCCCGGUGGAUAUGCACAGAAAGCCGUCUAGACCCUCCCCUGACAACAGGCCUCCUGCUGUCAGCACAUUGCCUAACCUGCAAAAAAGGAGCGUUUUACUGACAGAAACCACGGGGUGCUUUACUAAAUGAUGCCAGCUAUCUGUUUCUUCACGGUUCACUGUGAGUCAUGCUAACCUCAGGGACGGAUUGGCUUGGUAUGAAUCGACCUGACAGCAGGAGGCCUUGAGAACCAUGUGAAUUGAAACAGGUGCAUCUUGACCAUAACUCUCAAUCAUUCAAACCUGCUGUAUUCCAUGCAUUCUCCCUCCAUGCUCAUGGGAAUACAUGCUGCUGGAUUCACACAGCAUAUUCUCUGAACCACAGUGGACCGUUCCUCCCUCCAUGCCUCAUAGAACUUAUUUCAAAUGUUUUUUUCUUCGUUUUUUGCAAAAAAUGAAAGCAGACGGCAGAAAGAGUGCAGCUACAAUUAAUUCAUGACUACUGCAGACCGAUCACUCAUGUAUUACGGGCUCCUGGGGUUUGGCCUUCAAAGGCGCAGAAUUACUCAGUGGGAGAGCUUUUGAUAAUGCAAGCUGAAAAAUUUUCUGUAAAGAUGGAUAAUUAAAAAUGUCUUGAUAUUGUGCUCACUAAUUCCAUGCACUAUGUCUGCCCCAAUAAUAACAACUUGAGUUCCUCAUGCUUUGUUUAAUUGUGCCCUGUUUUAGUUUAGUACUCCACCCACAUCCUACUCUAGUAAAGCAAUAAGAUGUGUGAUAUCAGCAGUGGAAUUCUGAGAUACGGGAAAUGAAAAGGUCAGUUACAUUUUGCUUCACAGGGCUUUUUGAUGAUCCAAUUGUCUCUGUGAUUGUAAGAGCAUAUGUUAGCUUAUAAGGCAAUAAGUAAUAAGAAUAUUUUACUGGUUGUAUUAUGCACAAUUUAUAAGUACAUGAUUGAGUAGGCUAGUUUCAUUCUGGUAUGUACAUUCAGGUCCUUCCAUUAAUAUUUUGGUAACAUGUAACAUUAACAUUAGUAACAUUAGUUAAUGAUUUAACUAACAUGAACAAUGAGCAAUACAUUUGUUACAGUAUUUAUUAAUCUUUGUUAAUGUUAGUUAAUAAAAAUCCAGUUGUUCAUGUUACUUCACAGUGCAUUAACUAAUGUUAACAAACACAAUCAGACUAUUAAAAUUGGUAGUGAAUGCUAGUGACUUUACAGUUGUGUAGAACAUUUGAUAACAUUUGGUAUUUUUUAUAGCACUCUCAAAUAAAAAUC
Molecule: long non-coding RNA, 2623 nt
Organism: Ctenopharyngodon idella (grass carp)
Lineage: Eukaryota; Metazoa; Chordata; Actinopteri; Cypriniformes; Xenocyprididae
Exons: 5
Source: RefSeq, a predicted model, not a curated record